GCAUCUGUAGUGUAAUGGAUAACACAUAAGAUUCCGAUUCUUAGGAUAAGAGUUCGAUUCUCUUCAGAUGCA
RNAcentral lists this transfer RNA (72 nucleotides) under Lactobacillus sp. S2-2. RNAcentral describes it as "tRNA-Arg". It matches the Rfam family "tRNA". From Rfam's summary of the family: Transfer RNA (tRNA) molecules are approximately 80 nucleotides in length. Lineage: Bacteria; Bacillati; Bacillota; Bacilli; Lactobacillales; Lactobacillaceae. The record is from RNAcentral.